This 465-nucleotide ribosomal RNA is filed under the name uncultured bacterium. Its description in RNAcentral is "partial 16S ribosomal RNA". It matches the Rfam family "Bacterial small subunit ribosomal RNA", at positions 338 to 795 of the family's 1533-position model. The record is from RNAcentral.
CCUACGGGAGGCAGCAGUAGGGAAUCUUCCACAAUGGGCGAAAGCCUGAUGGAGCAACGCCGCGUGGGUGAAGAAGGUCUUCGGAUCGUAAAACCCUGUUGUUAGAGAAGAAAGUGCGUGAGAGUAACUGUUCACGUUUCGACGGUAUCUAACCAGAAAGCCACGGCUAAAUACGUGCCAGCAGCCGCGGUUAUACGUAGGUGGCAAGCGUUAUCCGGAUUUAUUGGGCGUAAAGGGAACGCAGGCGGUCUAUUAAGUCUGAUGUGAAAGGCCUCGGCUUAACCGGAGUAGUGCAUUGGAAACUGGGAGACUUGAGUGCAGAAGAGGAGAGUGGAACUCCAUGUGUAGCGGUGAAAUGCGUAGAUAUAUGGAAGAACACCAGUGGCGAAAGCGGCUCUCUGGUCUGUAACUGACGCUGAGGUUCGAAAGCGUGGGUAGCAAACAGGAUUAGAUACCCGAGUAGUC